RNAcentral lists this ribosomal RNA (554 nucleotides) under uncultured archaeon. RNAcentral describes it as "bacterial SSU rRNA". It matches the Rfam family "Archaeal small subunit ribosomal RNA", at positions 321 to 879 of the family's 1478-position model. The record is from RNAcentral.
CCCUACGGGGUGCAGCAUGCGCGAAAACUUUACAAUGCGAGCAAUCGUGAUAAGGGAACUCCGAGUGCCUGUAAAAUCAGGCUGUCCGCCAGUUUAAAUAACUGGUGAAGAAAGGGCCGGGCAAGACCGGUGCCAGCCGCCGCGGUAAUACCGGCGGCUCGAGUGGUGGCCACUAUUACUGGGCUUAAAGCGUUCGUAGCUGGUCUGUUAAGUCUCUGGGGAAAUCUUCCGGCUUAACCGGAAGGCGUCUCAGGGAUACUGGCAGACUAGGGACCGGAAGAGGUGAGAGGUACUCCAGGGGUAGGAGUGAAAUCCUGUAAUCCUUGGGGGACCACCUGUGGCGAAGGCGUCUCACCAGGACGGCUCCGACAGUGAGGAACGAAAGCUGGGGGAGCAAACCGGAUUAGAUACCCGGGUAGUCCCAGCUGUAAACGAUGCACGUUAGGUGUAUCGGUGACCACGAGUCACCGAGGUGCCGAAGAGAAAUCGUGAAACGUGCCGCCUGGGAAGUACGGUCGCAAGGCUGAAACUUAAAGGAAUUGGCGGGGGAGCAC